GAUAAACGCUGGCGGCGCACAUAAGACAUGCAAGUCGAACGGACAGAAGCUCAUUCUUUACGAUUGAGUGGAUGUUAGUGGCGGACUGGUGAGUAACACGUAAGCAACCUGCCUAUCAGAGGGGAAUAACAGUGAGAAAUCAUUGCUAAUACCGCAUAUGCUAACAGUAUCGCAUGAUACAGUUAGGAAAGGAGCAAUCCGCUGAUAGAUGGGCUUGCGUCUGAUUAGCUAGUUGGUGGGGUAACGGCCUACCAAGGCGACGAUCAGUAGCCGAGCUGAGAGGCUCAACGGCCACAUUGGGACUGAGAUACGGCCCAGACUCCUACGGGAGGCAGCAGUCGGGAAUAUUGCGCAAUGGAGGAAACUCUGACGCAGUGACGCCGCGUAUAGGAAGAAGGUUUUCGGAUUGUAAACUAUUAGUCUGCAGGGAAGAAAAAAGACUAGUACCUGC
Molecule: ribosomal RNA, 451 nt
Filed under: uncultured bacterium
Lineage: Bacteria
Description: bacterial SSU rRNA
Rfam family: Bacterial small subunit ribosomal RNA
Source: RNAcentral